UACGUAGGUGGCAAGCGUUGUCCGGAUUUACUGGGUGUAAAGGGCGUGUAGGCGGAGCGGCAAGUCAGAUGUGAAAUCUCGGGGCUUAACCCUGAAACUGCAUUUGAAACUGUCGCCCUUGAGUAUCGGAGAGGCAGGCGGAAUUCCUAGUGUAGCGGUGAAAUGCGUAGAUAUUAGGAGGAACACCAGUGGCGAAGGCGGCCUGCUGGACGACAACUGACGCUGAGGCGCGAAAGCGUGGGGAGCAAACAGG
RNAcentral lists this ribosomal RNA (253 nucleotides) under Sporobacter termitidis. RNAcentral describes it as "partial 16S ribosomal RNA". It matches the Rfam family "Bacterial small subunit ribosomal RNA", at positions 524 to 776 of the family's 1533-position model. The record is from RNAcentral. Lineage: Bacteria; Bacillati; Bacillota; Clostridia; Eubacteriales; Oscillospiraceae.